Astatotilapia calliptera (eastern happy) is the source of this 1093-nucleotide long non-coding RNA. The record is from Ensembl. Lineage: Eukaryota; Metazoa; Chordata; Actinopteri; Cichliformes; Cichlidae.
AGCACCACGGCUUUCCUUAUGGGUGUCCAAUGAAGCAUGCAGAUCAGCGUCGAAAUUAAAGAGGGAUCUGUAAUGAAACUCCCAGAGCCCCCUGAGUAAGAAAGUAACAAGACAGCCCAUAAAUAAGACACAGAGAACAAGAUCAUAAACGAUUUAGACACGCAGGAAGUAGGAAAUAGGACAGCAGACAAGAGCAGGAAGUUUAUGAAUGCCUCGCUGACGUACCUACAUUGUGAGCCCACAGGGAAACCUGUUUGGCAUUUGGGGCAGAAAUGUCAUGUAGCUGUCACAAGCUAUAUUUAAAUGAAGGAUGGCAAUGUCUCAGUUGUGAAGGUAGUGAUCUUGGUGUUCAGUUUGAAAUGUAAAUCAAAAGACAAAUUUAAAGAGUUCUUGCUUUGAAAUGACUCAAAUAAAUUCACUCUCUUGCUGAAUGAUUUAUAAAACAAACUACUGCUGCUUUUGAAGUUAGGAGUUGGCUCGAAUCUGAGGGUUCCAAAACGAUAUCACUUUGGGCAACGGCCCCAACCUUUUUUGCACCACGGACCGGUUUAUGCCCGACAAUAUUUUCACGGACCGGCCUUUAAGGUGUCGCGGAUAAAUACAACAAAAUAAAACUAGUACCAGUAUCGAAAAAAAAAAAAGAUUUAUUCAUAAGACACGUGAAAAGACCCAAGAAAACCGAGUGAACGAUAAAAACGAUAACAAAAUAACGCUGAAAACCGAUAAAAACCCUGAAAACCAUACAUUUCACACCUGAGCCUCAACUCUCACGGACCGGUACCGGUCCGAGGCCCGGGGGUUGGAGACCGCUGACUUUGAGAGUUGGCAGGGGCGUAACUUCCAGGGGGGUUAGGGGGGUUAUGACCCCCCCAAUAAUCAGACCCAACCAAUAUAACCCCCUCAAUAAAAUUAUGAAUCAUCUUGCAUAAAUAGGCUGUUGAUUUUCUUCACUAAUUUGAGGUAUUACCAGCAAAAUAGUUGCAUGUUUAAUCAUCUGGGAAUUUACCCAGAUUUUAUUUAUUUACUUAGACAGCGAUCUUGACCCCCCCCCAAUGUUCAGCACAAGUUGCGCCGAUAAGAGUCAAGGUUCUCC